Molecule: long non-coding RNA, 742 nt
Filed under: Ursus maritimus (polar bear)
Lineage: Eukaryota; Metazoa; Chordata; Mammalia; Carnivora; Ursidae
Description: lncRNA (ENSUMAG00000020415.1)
Source: RNAcentral
UGUCACAGCAAAAGUUACAACAGGAGGAAAACACAGAAAUGGUUCAACAUUUUUUUUUUAAACUUUGCACUGCCAAGAGCUGAAGGAGAGUGGUGAGCAAAGGAAUGAAGGGGAGAGAGAGAAACUGAACUGGAAGAUUGAGUUUUGUAUAGCUUCUUGAAACCUUAUGAAUGGAUUACUAGCAGCUGAGAGCCAGGAGAGACCUAUAGGGACUGCAAGAUCAUUCACACAUAAACAGGGGCAGAAAAGGAGGCGGAAUUCUUCCUUGCUGUAUUAUCCCUCCUUCCUGAAAUGAAUGGGACCCACAAGACUCCCAGAAGGUGAAGUCGAGGGCUCUCAGAUUCAUAAGGUUAUUAGGACACCAGACUGGCAUCCCCAAGGAGAACUUUACGGAGACUUGCAACAUACCAACAAGUUGGAAGGGGAUUAAAAAACCUUCAACACUCCACAAGCCCAAGCACCAAGCUGAGGGAAACAUUCUGACCUGCACAGGCAGACUGGCAGCUGGCUGGGGCUCUGGCUGAGGAGGACCUCUGGAGAGCAAAAGCUAAGUACCAGCUUGAAUUUUUGGGCCCCCAGGUUCCUUUUGCAGUUUUAGAUAGAAGCAUCAAAUCCUGUGUCUCUGGAUGCAAGUUCUUGUAGUGGUUUGUUUGAAGGGGGAUGCGGCUUAGGUACAUAAUGUAACUCUUAGGGAAGGAAGAAGGAGAGAGAAAUAAAAAUGAGAAGCCUAGCGCCUUUUUCA